UGACGAGAAGACCCCGUCAAACUUUAAUUAUCAUAUAUAAAAGUGAAAAUAUAAAAUAUAAAUUAAUUUUAGUUGGGGCAACUGGGAGGGAUAAAAAUCUUUUAUUAAAUCAUUUAUAGUAAUAUUUAUAUUUAUGACCCAAAUUAGUUAAUUUUGAACUUAGAAU
RNAcentral lists this ribosomal RNA (166 nucleotides) under Ledella ultima. Its description in RNAcentral is "partial 16S ribosomal RNA". The record is from RNAcentral. Lineage: Eukaryota; Metazoa; Mollusca; Bivalvia; Nuculanida sp.; Nuculanidae.